Molecule: transfer RNA, 73 nt
Filed under: Stegodyphus mimosarum
Lineage: Eukaryota; Metazoa; Arthropoda; Arachnida; Araneae; Eresidae
Rfam family: tRNA
About the family: Transfer RNA (tRNA) molecules are approximately 80 nucleotides in length. Their secondary structure includes four short double-helical elements and three loops (D, anti-codon, and T loops).
Source: Rfam by way of RNAcentral
GCCUUCGUGGUGUAAUUGGAAGGAUAUUCAACUCGUAUUCGAGAGGUCCAGGGUUCGAGUCCCGGCGAGGGCG